RNAcentral lists this ribosomal RNA (301 nucleotides) under uncultured bacterium. RNAcentral's name for it is "partial 16S ribosomal RNA". It matches the Rfam family "Bacterial small subunit ribosomal RNA", at positions 509 to 807 of the family's 1533-position model. The record is from RNAcentral.
CAGUCGCCGCGGUAAUACAGAGGGUGCGAGCGUUAAUCGGAUUUACUGGGCGUAAAGCGUGCGUAGGCGGCUUUUUAAGUCGGAUGUGAAAUCCCUGAGCUUAACUUAGGAAUUGCAUUCGAUACUGGGAAGCUAGAGUAUGGGAGAGGAUGGUAGAAUUCCAGGUGUAGCGGUGAAAUGCGUAGAGAUCUGGAGGAAUACCGAUGGCGAAGGCGGCCCCCUGGACAAAGACUGACGCUCAGGUGCGAAAGCGUGGGGAGCAAACAGGAUUAGAUACCCCAGUAGUCCCUGUCUCUUAUAC